Small nucleolar RNA from Impatiens glandulifera, 105 nucleotides. The record is from RefSeq and is a predicted model, not a curated record. NCBI's taxonomy places the organism in Eukaryota, Viridiplantae, Streptophyta, Magnoliopsida, Ericales, Balsaminaceae.
ACUUAAGAUGUGUAUGUGCUGUAAAUAUGGACGAACAUUAGUGUGUAGGAUUUAUGUGGGAUUGCAUGAUAUUUUUGCAUUCCCAUAAAAGAGCUACAAACAUGG